Molecule: long non-coding RNA, 657 nt
Filed under: Aquilegia coerulea
Lineage: Eukaryota; Viridiplantae; Streptophyta; Magnoliopsida; Ranunculales; Ranunculaceae
Description: long non-coding RNA (ACOE_LNC000626)
Source: RNAcentral
UAUUUGAUCCUACAUUCGAUAUCCAUUCUUUAAGGGUUUAAUUUGUCCUCACCAACGUAUGAUUACAUAUAUUAUCAGAAAAUAAUAUAUUAGUAGAUAAGAUAUAUAUAUUAUAUAUAUAUAUAUAUAUUAUUUCUUUGUUUUAUGUGAUACAUAACCUUACAAGUUUGCUAGAUGAUCGAGAAAUAAAGCCUGAUGUGAGGAUUGCAACAUUGCAAUGGCAAUGUGUGAGUAUGUGACCCUUCAUUUGUAAGUCCCAUACAUUAAUACAAAUGAAGUGUAAGAUUGGCAAUGUGCAGGUUUCUUAUUAAAUCUAUGCCUUAUAUCUCUAAUAACUGUAACUGAUACUACAUACAGCUAUACAUAUAUGUGAUGAGAAAUUGUAUCUUUGCAGUGAAAAAGUAGGGAUAAUUAUCUUGGCUGACUUGUCUACAGAUUUGCUAAUGAGCAUAGUCACAUGAUUACCUCUUGAUCACUACUUCAUUCACUCUUGUAAAAGAAACAUUAUCUAUUUAUCUCUACACUAGUCAUUCCUGCACAAGAACUUUUCCUAAUCGUAACUUUUGUCUUUUGGUCUGCAGUCUGCACUACCUUUGCUUCUUUUUUUCUUCCGAGUAUAACUCAUCAACUGCCACAUUUCCAAGCAGCUAAGUAACA